Molecule: long non-coding RNA, 686 nt
Organism: Arachis duranensis
Lineage: Eukaryota; Viridiplantae; Streptophyta; Magnoliopsida; Fabales; Fabaceae
Exons: 4
Source: RefSeq, a predicted model, not a curated record
CUUCUUUAUUUUGCAAUAAUCAAUCUAUUUCAAAUAAGUUUUUUUUCCUUGAGUUGCAGAGGAAGGGAGCUGGUUCCACAUCAAAGAAAAACCACUUGAUGCAAAGAUAUUGAGACGUUUGGCUCAAAACAGAGAGGCCGCAAGAAAAAACUGUCUAAGAAAAAAGGUGUAUCCUAGUAUUAUAUGGUUGCACAAAUUCAAAAAUAGUUGUUAAGAGAUAAGAAUAAAGCAUAACAUAUAUUGUAAAAUGGUGACAAAAAAUGAUUGGAUGUUAAUAAAAAUGAAUAAUAAGUGCAUUUUUCUUGCUAUCUAUGGAGCAGGCUUAUGUGCCGCAAUUAGAGAUUAAAGCUUACACAACUUGAACAAGACCUUCAAAGGGCUCGUUCUCAGAUUCUAAACUCAUAUAUAUUAAAAUAUUCUUCAUAAUUAUUAUGUUACACUAUAUAAAUUAUAAAGUUAUCUUUUUGUAUAUGUGUGUUUUUACUAUUUGAGCUCUUUUUGUUGGAGACAAUUUAAGCUCUGCUUGCAGAUGGGUUAAUUUUAGAGAAGGCAUCAUCUCCUAUAGGAGUUCUCUUAAUUGUUUUUUAAUCUUGCCCUGAUGCAUUUUUACAGAACAUGAAAGCACGUGCAGUGGCUAAUCAUCGUAUUGCAAGAAUCACCUCUCAUCUUCAGCCACCCAAUUUGAA